AUAUAUGCCGAAGACAGUAGGUGCCGCAGGGCGUAAACGUAAGACGACCUACCGAGGGAAUCUUAGUGUUAGCGAUAAUCUAAGAGUGAAUUUUUAACCGACCCUCUCUGUCUUUGCAGAGAGUUUUUUUAUUU
Molecule: small RNA, 134 nt
Filed under: uncultured Roseburia sp.
Lineage: Bacteria; Bacillati; Bacillota; Clostridia; Lachnospirales; Lachnospiraceae
Description: Ribosomal protein L10 leader
Rfam family: Ribosomal protein L10 leader
About the family: This family is a putative r-protein leader autoregulatory structure found in B. subtilis and other low-GC Gram-positive bacteria. It is located in the 5' untranslated regions of mRNAs encoding ribosomal proteins L10 and L12 (rplJ-rplL).
Source: RNAcentral